CGAACGCGUUGSCCAAUUGAUUGAUGRUGCUUGCMCYKRAUUGAUUUUGGUCGCCAACGAGUGGCGGACGGGUGAGUAACACGUAGGUAACCUGCCCAGAAGCGGGGGACAACAUUUGGAAACAGAUGCUAAUACCGCAUAACAACGUUGUUCGCAUGAACAACGCUUAAAAGAUGGCUUCUCGCUAUCACUUCUGGAUGGACCUGCGGUGCAUUAGCUUGUUGGUGGGGUAAUGGCCUACCAAGGCGAUGAUGCAUAGCCGAGUUGAGAGACUGAUCGGCCACAAUGGGACUGAGACACGGCCCAUACUCCUACGGGAGGCAGCAGUAGGGAAUCUUCCACAAUGGGCGCAA
RNAcentral lists this ribosomal RNA (353 nucleotides) under Limosilactobacillus fermentum. Its description in RNAcentral is "bacterial SSU rRNA". It matches the Rfam family "Bacterial small subunit ribosomal RNA", at positions 63 to 380 of the family's 1533-position model. Lineage: Bacteria; Bacillati; Bacillota; Bacilli; Lactobacillales; Lactobacillaceae. The record is from RNAcentral.